CGCAGCAGGCGCGAAAACUUUACAAUGCGGGCAACCGUGAUAAGGGAACCUCGAGUGCCUGUAUAUGCAGGCUGUCCAGGUGUCUAAACCACACCUGAAGAAAGGGCCGGGCAAGACCGGUGCCAGCCGCCGCGGUAAUACCGGCGGCUCGAGUGGUGGCCACUUUUAUUGGGCUUAAAGCGUUCGUAGCUGGGUUGUUAAGUCUCUUGGGAAAUCCGGCGGCUCAACCGUCGGGCGUCUAAGGGAUACUGGCAAUCUUGGAACCGGGAGAGGUGAGGGGUACUUCGGGGGUAGGAGUGAAAUCCUGUAAUCCUCGAGGGACCACCUGUGGCGAAGGCGCCUCACCAGAACGGCUUCGACAGUGAGGGACGAAAGCUGGGGGAGCAAACCGGAUUAGAUACCCGGGUAGUCCCAGCCGUAAACGAUGUGCGUUAGGUGUAUCGACGACCACGAGUUGUCGAGGUGCCGAAGGGAAACCGUGAAACGUACCGCCUGGGAAGUACGGUCGCAAGGCUGAAACUUAAAGGAAUUGGCGGGGGAGCACCACAACAGGUGGAGCCUGCGGUUUAAUUGGACUCAACGCCGGGAAUCUCACCGGAUAGG
RNAcentral lists this ribosomal RNA (603 nucleotides) under uncultured archaeon. RNAcentral describes it as "bacterial SSU rRNA". It matches the Rfam family "Archaeal small subunit ribosomal RNA", at positions 331 to 938 of the family's 1478-position model. The record is from RNAcentral.